GACGUAGGAUGCAAGCGUUGUCCGGAUUUAUUGGGCGUAAAGAGUUCGUAGGCGGUUCGUUAAGUCUGGUGUUAAAGAUCGGGGCUCAACCCCGGGAGUGCACUGGAUACUGGCGGACUCGAGUGUGGUAGAGGCAAGUGGAAUUCCCAGUGUAGCGGUGAAAUGCGUAGAUAUUGGGAAGAACACCGGUGGCGCAAGCGACUUGCUGGGCCAUUACUGACGCUGAGGAACGAAAGCUAGGGGAGCGAAU
This 250-nucleotide ribosomal RNA is filed under the name uncultured bacterium. RNAcentral describes it as "partial 16S ribosomal RNA". It matches the Rfam family "Bacterial small subunit ribosomal RNA", at positions 524 to 773 of the family's 1533-position model. The record is from RNAcentral.